RNAcentral lists this ribosomal RNA (467 nucleotides) under uncultured bacterium. Its description in RNAcentral is "partial 16S ribosomal RNA". It matches the Rfam family "Bacterial small subunit ribosomal RNA", at positions 28 to 506 of the family's 1533-position model. The record is from RNAcentral.
GACGAACGCUGGCGGCGUGCUUAACACAUGCAAGUCGAACGGAAAGGCCCUGCUUUUGCGGGGUGCUCGAUUGGCGAACGGGUGAGUAACACGCGUGUAUCCCGUCCCUAACUUUGGGAUAACUUCACGAAACUGGGGCUAAUAUAGGAUAGGAGCUCCUGAUGCACGGGGUGGGUUGGAAAGUUUCGGCCGUGGUGGAUGGACUCGCGGCUUAUCAGCUGGAUGGUGGGGUAGUGGAGUACAAAGGCUUUGACGGGUAGCCGGCCUGGGAGGUUGACCGGGCACCUGGGGCCUGAGGUACGGCGCAGUCGCCUACGGGCCGCAGCGGGCGGGAGUAUGGCGCAGUGGGCCGGCGCGUGUGGCAGCAACGCUGCGUGCGGGAUGACCGCCUUCGGGUUGUAAACCGCUGUCGCCUGUGACGAAGCGUGAGUGACGGUAAUUGGUAAAGAAGCACCGGCUAACUACGU